RNAcentral lists this non-coding RNA (170 nucleotides) under uncultured Eisenbergiella sp. Its description in RNAcentral is "Lysine riboswitch". It matches the Rfam family "Lysine riboswitch aptamer". Rfam says of the family: Riboswitches are metabolite binding domains within certain messenger RNAs that serve as precision sensors for their corresponding targets. Allosteric rearrangement of mRNA structure is mediated by ligand binding, and this results in modulation of gene expression. Lineage: Bacteria; Bacillati; Bacillota; Clostridia; Lachnospirales; Lachnospiraceae. The record is from RNAcentral.
UCAGAUAGAGGUUGCGUGACCCAUCAGUAGCUUUUCAGAUGUUGCAGGGACAGGAGAAGAAAAGGGAAAGGGGAGAGCGCCGAAAGAGGAGAGAGCCUGCACCUCAAUUCUUGGGCAUGCGGUUAAGAGCUGCAUGACUGUCAUCUGCAAAAGGAUGGGGAGCUAUCUGA